RNAcentral lists this ribosomal RNA (890 nucleotides) under uncultured Gammaproteobacteria bacterium. Its description in RNAcentral is "bacterial SSU rRNA". It matches the Rfam family "Bacterial small subunit ribosomal RNA", at positions 8 to 893 of the family's 1533-position model. The record is from RNAcentral. Lineage: Bacteria; Pseudomonadati; Pseudomonadota; Gammaproteobacteria.
AGGGUUUGAUCAUGGCUCAGAUUGAACGCUGGCGGCAGGCCUAACACAUGCAAGUCGAGCGGUAGAGAGGAGCUUGCUCCUCUUGAGAGCGGCGGACGGGUGAGUAAUGCCUAGGAAUCUGCCUGGUAGUGGGGGAUAACGUUCGGAAACGGACGCUAAUACCGCAUACGUCCUACGGGAGAAAGCAGGGGACCUUCGGGCCUUGCGCUAUCAGAUGAGCCUAGGUCGGAUUAGCUAGUUGGUGAGGUAAUGGCUCACCAAGGCGACGAUCCGUAACUGGUCUGAGAGGAUGAUCAGUCACACUGGAACUGAGACACGGUCCAGACUCCUACGGGAGGCAGCAGUGGGGAAUAUUGGACAAUGGGCGAAAGCCUGAUCCAGCCAUGCCGCGUGUGUGAAGAAGGUCUUCGGAUUGUAAAGCACUUUAAGUUGGGAGGAAGGGCAGUAAAUUAAUACUUUGCUGUUUUGACGUUACCGACAGAAUAAGCACCGGCUAACUCUGUGCCAGCAGCCGCGGUAAUACAGAGGGUGCAAGCGUUAAUCGGAAUUACUGGGCGUAAAGCGCGCGUAGGUGGUUUGUUAAGUUGGAUGUGAAAUCCCCGGGCUCAACCUGGGAACUGCAUUCAAAACUGACUGACUAGAGUAUGGUAGAGGGUGGUGGAAUUUCCUGUGUAGCGGUGAAAUGCGUAGAUAUAGGAAGGAACACCAGUGGCGAAGGCGACCACCUGGACUAAUACUGACACUGAGGUGCGAAAGCGUGGGGAGCAAACAGGAUUAGAUACCCUGGUAGUCCACGCCGUAAACGAUGUCAACUAGCCGUUGGAAGCCUUGAGCUUUUAGUGGCGCAGCUAACGCAUUAAGUUGACCGCCUGGGGAGUACGGCCGCAAGG